This 497-nucleotide ribosomal RNA is filed under the name uncultured bacterium. RNAcentral describes it as "partial 16S ribosomal RNA". It matches the Rfam family "Bacterial small subunit ribosomal RNA", at positions 28 to 507 of the family's 1533-position model. The record is from RNAcentral.
GAUGAACGCUGGCGGCGUGCCUAAUACAUGCAAGUCGAGCGAACAGAUGAGGAGCUUGCUCCUCUGACGUUAGCGGCGGACGGGUGAGUAACACGUGGAUAACCUACCUAUAAGACUGGGAUAACUUCGGGAAACCGGAGCUAAUACCGGAUAAUAUAUUGAACCGCAUGGUUCAAUAGUGAAAGACGGUUUUGCUGUCACUUAUAGAUGGAUCCGCGCCUCAUUAGCUAGUUGGUAAGGUAACGGCUUACCAAGGCAACGAUGCGUAGCCGACCUGAGAGGGUGAUCGGCCACACUGGAACUGAGACACGGUCCAGACUCCUACGGGAGGCAGCAGUGGGGAAUCUUCCGCAAUGGGCGAAAGCCUGACGGAGCAACGCCGCGUGAGUGAUGAAGGUCUUCGGAUCGUAAAACUCUGUUAUUAGGGAAGAACAAAUGUGUAAGUAACUAUGCACGUCUUGACGGUACCUAAUCAGAAAGCCACGGCUAACUACGUG